AUUGAACGCUGGCGGCAGGCCUCACACAUGCAAGUCGAGCGGAUGAAGGAAAAUUAAUCAAGGAUUAAGAGAAAGAAGGGAAAGUACUACAUAAGACACAGACUGAACGUGGGGGAUAACGUCCGGAAACGGGCGCUAAUACCGCAUACGUCCUGAGGGAGAAAGUGGGGGAUCUUCGGACCUCACGCUAUCAGAUGAGCCUAGGUCGGAUUAGCUAGUUGGUGGGGUAAAGGCCUACCAAGGCGACGAUCCGUAACUGGUCUGAGAGGAUGAUCAGUCACACUGGAACUGAGACACGGUCCAGACUCCUACGGGAGGCAGCAGUGGGGAAUAUUGGACAAUGGGCGAAAGCCUGAUCCAGCCAUGCCGCGUGUGUGAAGAAGGUCUUCGGAUUGUAAAGCACUUUAAGUUGGGAGGAAGGGCAGUAAGUUAAUACCUUGCUGUUUUGACGUUACCAACAGAAUAAGCACCGGCUAACUUCGUG
Molecule: ribosomal RNA, 484 nt
Filed under: uncultured bacterium
Lineage: Bacteria
Description: partial 16S ribosomal RNA
Rfam family: Bacterial small subunit ribosomal RNA
Source: RNAcentral